GAAAAGAAACUAACAAGGAUUCCCCUAGUAGCGGCGAGCGAAGCGGGAAGAGCCCGGGAUGAAAAUCUCUUCGGAGAGUUGUAGUCUGAGUUCCCUUGGGCGGUCAGUGUGGGUAAAUCGUCUGGGAUGACGUGCCAGGGAGGGUGAGAGCCCCGUCCACCCCACACAGGACCCGCCCGCACGAGGGCGCUUCAACCGAGUCGGGUAGCUUGGGAAUGCUGCUCCAAUUGGUGGUAAAUCUCAUCAAAGGCUAAAUAACGGUGGGAGACCGAUAGCGAACAAGUACCGUGAGGGAAAGAUGGAAAGAACUUUGAAAAGAGAGUGAAAAGCGCUUGAAACCGUCACGGGGGAAGCGGAUUGCGUGAGUGAUGGGGCGCACUGUUCAGCUCAAAAUGUGGAGUGUACUCUGUGCGCGCCGGGCGUGUGUGGCUGGGGCGCGUGCCAAGUUGGCGCGCGCGCCUGGUGAGGGCUCCCCGCUUUGUCGGGUGAGGACACACGCGAAAUGACGCAAUACGACCCGUCUUGAAACACGGACCAAGGAGUCUAGCACGGCUGCGAGUCGAAGGGUGUGGAAAACCCAGAGGGCGCAGUGAAAGCGAAAGAAAGCAAAUUGGGGAGGCGUUGCGGUUGUACCAAAAUGUCCUACCUCGAGCACCUGUGCUGGGACCCGAAAGAUGGUGAACUAUGCCGGAGUAGGGCAAAGCCAGAGGAAACUCUGGUGGAGGCUCGUAGCGAUGCUGACGUGCAAAUCGCUCGUCGAACUUGGGUAUAGGGGCGAAAGACUAAUCGAACCAUCUAGUAGCUGGUUCCCUCCGAAGUUUCUCUCAGGAUAGCGGGCCGACGACGUGUUGUUUUGUGCGGUAAAGCGAAUGAUUAGUGCAUUUGGGGGCCGAAGGCCUUCAGGCGAUUCUCAAACUUUAAAUGCGCAAGGGGGCGGCUGCUCAAGUGAGCCUGCUCUUUGAAAAACGUCGGCCCUGUGGGCCACUUUUGGUAAGCAGAACUGGCGAUAAGGGAUGAACCUUAAGCGCGGUUAAGGCGCCGCAUUGCCCGCUUAUAGACCCCACAAAAGGUGUUGAUUCAUCCAGACAGCAGGACGGUGGCCAUGGAAGUCGGAAUCCGCUAAGGAGUGUGUAACAACUCACCUGCCGAAUGAAUUAGCCCUGAAAAUGGAUGGCGCUGAAGCGGGCAGCCGACACCGCGCCGUUCGGGCGAGACGAUGCCCGGAUGAGUAGGAGGGCGUGGCGGUCAGUGACGCAGGCGUGGGUGCAGACCCCGCUGAAACGGCCGCUAGUGCAGAUCUUGGUGGUAGUAGCAAAUAUUCAAGCGAGAUCCUUGAAGGGCGAAGCGGGGAAGGGUUCCACGCGAACAUUGAUUGGGCGUGGGUGAGUC
This 1389-nucleotide ribosomal RNA is filed under the name Nocturama antipodites. RNAcentral describes it as "eukaryotic LSU rRNA". It matches the Rfam family "Eukaryotic large subunit ribosomal RNA", at positions 56 to 1540 of the family's 3401-position model. The record is from RNAcentral. Lineage: Eukaryota; Rhodophyta; Florideophyceae; Batrachospermales; Batrachospermaceae.